UACGAAGGGGGCGAGCGUUAUUCGGAAUCACUGGGCGUAAAGCGUGCGUAGGCGGUUAUGUAAGUUGGGAGUGAAAGCCCAGGGCUCAACCCUGGAAUUGCUCUCAAAACUACAUGACUUGAAUUCAGGAGAGGAUAGCGGAAUUCCCAGUGUAGCAGUGAAAUGCGUAGAUAUUGGGAGGAACACCGAUGGCGUAAGCAGCUAUCUGGACUGACAUUGACGCUGAGGCACGAAAGCGUGGGGAUCAAACAGG
RNAcentral lists this ribosomal RNA (253 nucleotides) under uncultured bacterium. RNAcentral's name for it is "partial 16S ribosomal RNA". It matches the Rfam family "Bacterial small subunit ribosomal RNA", at positions 524 to 776 of the family's 1533-position model. The record is from RNAcentral.